UUUUUUUUUUUUUUUUUUUUUUUUUUUUUUUUUUUUUUUUUUUUUG
Molecule: non-coding RNA, 46 nt
Filed under: Alexandrium minutum
Lineage: Eukaryota; Dinophyceae; Gonyaulacales; Pyrocystaceae
Source: RNAcentral